ACGGUGAUGGCCGAGUGGUUAAGGCGUGGGACCCCCGUUCUCAUUGAGGUAACUCAGCGCGGGUUCGAAUCCCGCUCACCGUA
Non-coding RNA from Caenorhabditis tropicalis, 83 nucleotides. Lineage: Eukaryota; Metazoa; Nematoda; Chromadorea; Rhabditida; Rhabditidae. The record is from Rfam.